Elgaria multicarinata webbii is the source of this 424-nucleotide non-coding RNA. Lineage: Eukaryota; Metazoa; Chordata; Lepidosauria; Squamata; Anguidae. The record is from the annotation of a RefSeq genome assembly.
CAUCAUGGCUGCGAAACACGUUCUCUUUGUCAUCUUGGCUUAUAAUACAGGCUUUGGUUGUCAGGCUGCUCUGAGUCAAAGCGGUCCAUUUUCGGUGGCUCUGGGACAGACGGCAGCCAUCACCUGUACUCUGCAAGGCGCGGAGUUUAUCAGUAGCGUCCAUCCAUCCUGGUACCAACAAAACCCAGGGGAGGCUCCUAGGCUCCUCAUCUUCAAGUCCAGGGAAAGAGCUUCAGGGGUCCCCGAGCGUUUCUCCGGAGAGACUUAUAGCAACAACGCAAAGCUAACCAUCGCUGCGGUCCAGGCGGGUGAUGAAGCAGAUUAUUACUGUGCAGUGUGGCAUAAUUCCCAGCUACACCAUGACAUAUCUCAGUGCAUAGUGACGGAAAGGUUUAACCUUCAACUGCAAGGAUGGGAGAGGUGA